Molecule: long non-coding RNA, 1038 nt
Organism: Mus musculus (house mouse)
Lineage: Eukaryota; Metazoa; Chordata; Mammalia; Rodentia; Muridae
Product: predicted gene, 52739
Exons: 3
Source: RefSeq, a predicted model, not a curated record
CAGACGAUAAAUGGCUGUUUCAGGCCAGGCAGGGGUGGCGUGGGGGGACUGCUUGGACAAAGGAAUUCUAGUGGGAGGGGUCAUGCAGAAGAGAGGCUGAGCAGGCUGUAGGAGCAGGCUAUAGGAGCUGAAAGAGAGAAGAGAGUCACAGAGCAGUUACAUCAGCAUCUUUUUGAGCCACUAGGACUCCCCCGACCCUCUUACUACCCGACCACCUAUGCUCCAGUCACAUACUAGCAGUUGAGUGUCUGAGGGGACUGCACAAAUUAGGCGACCCUGGAGACUGGAGUUCCUAUGAGCUCACUGGGCGCUCAGAGCAGCUCAGUAUAAGCACCAGCUGUUGGGUCUCAAAACAGAACAGCUGCUAGGACUACUGUGGGACACUGGUGAGUAGAGGGGACAGUGAGAAGCAGUACAAUCAUCAUUGCCUUUGCCAAGACAGAAGACAAAUUGCCGGGGGCUCCUGCUUGUCACUGGCAAGAAUACUGCGAUGCUGGGGCGACACAAAUUACUCCAGAAGGGCAGGACUCUGUCACUUUCUGAGAAUCGGUUUGGCUUUGUCCACAAAGGCUCCCGAUGGAGGGUCUGGAAUUCCGCUUUUUGAUCAGUCCAAAGCGUGGCCUUUUCACAGCACAUUCCACCAUGCCAACAGCCGUUUCCAGAGAGGAACUGAGAAUUAAGUGGAGCUCUGGUUGCAGAUGAUUCUUUUUCCGUGCCUAGCUACCCAAACAAAGAGACCGAGCCAGAAGCCAGAUCUGCAAGGGCGCGCGCACAAUGGGACUGGUGCACGGGAAUGUUCAGGGCUCUGCCUGAUUAAACUGCCUUCAGAGCGCCAGGGGGCAAUUUCGCUAAGCCUCCCUGUGUUGUAUUUUGGCAGCUCUCUCUUCCCAGCCCCCUCUGCAUCCCCUUCACAUCCUCAAACCCAUUUGCGCCCUCAUUUGGAUUGAGACCAAUUCACACAGACUGGCAGAGCUGUAAUUGGUAUCUUACUUACCUUGGCUUCUUUUUUUCUCUGAUCAUUCAAAUAAUGACAGCUUU